GAUUAACGCUGGCGGCGUGCAUAACACAUGCAAGUCGAACGAUGAAACUUAACUGAUUUCUUCGGAAUGAUUUUAAGUGGAUUAGUGGCGGACGGGUGAGUAACGUGUGAGUAACCUGCCUUGGAGAAGGGGAUAGCCUUUGGAAACGAAGAAUAAUACCCUAUGAUAUGAUAAUAUCUCAUGAUAUUAUCAUCAAAGAUUUAUCGCUCUAAGAUGGACUUGCGUCUGAUUAGUUAGUUGGUGAGGUAACAGCUCACCAAGGCAGCGAUCAGUAGCCGGCUUGAGAGAGUGUACGGCCACAUUGGGACUGAGACACGGCCCAGACUCCUACGGGAGGCAGCAGUGGGGAAUUUUGCACAAUGGGGGAAACCCUGAUGCAGCGACGCCGCGUGAUUUAGAAGGCCUUCGGGUUGUAAAAAUCUUUUGUAUGGGAAGAAAAUGACAGUACCAUACGAAUAAGGACCGGCUAAUUACAUG
This 477-nucleotide ribosomal RNA is filed under the name uncultured bacterium. RNAcentral describes it as "partial 16S ribosomal RNA". It matches the Rfam family "Bacterial small subunit ribosomal RNA", at positions 28 to 507 of the family's 1533-position model. The record is from RNAcentral.